GUAGGGAAUCUUCCACAAUGGGCGCAAGCCUGAUGGAGCAACACCGCGUGAGUGAAGAAGGGUUUCGGCUCGUAAAGCUCUGUUGUUAAAGAAGAACACGUAUGAGAGUAACUGUUCAUACGUUGACGGUAUUUAACCAGAAAGUCACGGCUAACUACGUGACAGCAGCCGCGGUAAUACGUAGGUGGCAAGCGUUAUCCGGAUUUAUUGGGCGUAAAGAGAGUGCAGGCGGUUGUCUAAGUCUGAUGUGAAAGCCUUCGGCUUAACCGUAGAAGUGCAUAGGAAACUGGAUAACUUGAGUGCAGACGAGAGUAGUGGAACUCCAUGUGUAGCGGUGGAAUGCGUAGAUAUAUGGAAGAACACCAGUGGCGAUGGUGGAUACCUGGUCUGCAACUGACGCUGAGACUCGAAAGCAUGCGUAGCGAACAGGAUUAGAUACCCUUGUAGUCC
Molecule: ribosomal RNA, 450 nt
Filed under: uncultured bacterium
Lineage: Bacteria
Description: partial 16S ribosomal RNA
Rfam family: Bacterial small subunit ribosomal RNA
Source: RNAcentral